This 57-nucleotide transfer RNA is filed under the name Heterocephalus glaber (naked mole-rat). It matches the Rfam family "tRNA", at positions 8 to 63 of the family's 71-position model. Rfam says of the family: Transfer RNA (tRNA) molecules are approximately 80 nucleotides in length. Their secondary structure includes four short double-helical elements and three loops (D, anti-codon, and T loops). Lineage: Eukaryota; Metazoa; Chordata; Mammalia; Rodentia; Bathyergidae. The record is from Rfam by way of RNAcentral.
UGGCUCAUUGGUAGAGUGCUUGCCUAGCAUGCAUGAAGUCCUGGGUUCAAUCCCCAG